GUCUUCUAAUUCAUAGAUCUCGAAUCAGGGUAUUUUAGAUAGGGAAGAAGGUAGAUAGAACCAGACCUUAUAGAUCUGUCCUGCUGUAGUCUUUCCUUUAGAUCUGUUGAUGGAGAUCUCACCUGCACCUCAAACGACCUCAGAUCAACUCCAGAUUUGAGAGGAAAUUAUACCAACAUCUUUGCAAGAAAUUCCAGGUCCUGGACCUGAUCUUUGGAUGGCUGCAAGAGAGGG
This 234-nucleotide long non-coding RNA is filed under the name Elaeis guineensis (African oil palm). RNAcentral describes it as "long non-coding RNA (EGUI_LNC057898)". Lineage: Eukaryota; Viridiplantae; Streptophyta; Magnoliopsida; Arecales; Arecaceae. The record is from RNAcentral.